This 453-nucleotide ribosomal RNA is filed under the name uncultured bacterium. RNAcentral describes it as "bacterial SSU rRNA". It matches the Rfam family "Bacterial small subunit ribosomal RNA", at positions 59 to 518 of the family's 1533-position model. The record is from RNAcentral.
UAGUGAUAACACAUUUGUGGAGUGAUGAGUGCUGGAUAAAUGCUAGCGGCGGACGGGUGCGUAACACGUGGGUAACCUGCCCCUAUCACUGGGAUAACACACUGAAAAGUGUGCUAAUAUCAAGAUAACAUAAGCUUUUGGCAUCAUUAGCUUAUCAAAGAAUUUCGGAUAGGGAUGGGCCCGCGUCUGAUUAGCUUGUUGGUGAGGUAACGGGCUCACCAAGGCAACGAUCAGUAGCCGACCUGAGAGGGUGAUCGGCCACACUGGAACUGAGACACGGUCCAGACUCCUACGGGAGGCAGCAGUGGGGAAUAUUGCACAAUGGGCGAAAGCCUGAUGCAAGCAACGCCGCGUGAGCGAUGAAGGCCUUCGGGUACGUAAAGCUCUGUCCUAUGGGAAGAUAAUGACGGUACCAUAGGAGGAAGCCCCGGCUAACUACGUGCCAGCAGCCGC